UGCAGAAGCUUAGCGAAGUAUAUUUUAGUGGCGGACGGGUGAGUAACGCGUGGAUAACCUGCCUUACACUGGGGGAUAACACUUAGAAAUAGGUGCUAAUACCGCAUAAGCGCACAGGACCGCAUGGUCUGGUGUGAAAAACUCCGGUGGUGUAAGAUGGAUCCGCGUCUGAUUAGCUAGUUGGUGAGGUAAUGGCUCACCAAGGCGACGAUCAGUAGCCGGCCUGAGAGGGUGAACGGCCACAUUGGGACUGAGACACGGCCCAAACUCCUACGGGAGGCAGCAGUGGGGAAUAUUGCACAAUGGGCGAAAGCCUGAUGCAGCGACGCCGCGUGAGUGAAGAAGUAUUUCGGUACGUAAAGCUCUAUCAGCAAGGAAGAAAAUGACGGUACUUGACUAAGAAGCCCCGGCUAACUACGUGCCAGCAGCCGCGGUAAUACGUAGGGGGCAAGCGUUAUCCGGAUUUACUGGGUGUAAAGGGAGCGUAGACGGUUCUGCAAGUCUGGUGUGAAAGCCCGGGGCUCAACCCCGGGACUGCAUUGGAAACUGUGGAACUAGAGUGCAGGAGAGGUAAGUGGAAUUCCUAGUGUAGCGGUGAAAUGCGUAGAUAUUAGGAGGAACACCAGUGGCGAAGGCGGCUUACUGGACUGUAACUGACGUUGAGGCUCGAAAGCGUGGGGAGCAAACAGGAUUAGAUACCCUGGUAGUCCACGCCGUAAACGAUGAUUACUAGGUGUCGGGGGUCACAGACCUUCGGUGCCGCAGCUAACGCAAUAAGUAAUCCACCUGGGGAGUACGUU
RNAcentral lists this ribosomal RNA (800 nucleotides) under uncultured Bacillota bacterium. RNAcentral describes it as "bacterial SSU rRNA". It matches the Rfam family "Bacterial small subunit ribosomal RNA", at positions 68 to 886 of the family's 1533-position model. The record is from RNAcentral. Lineage: Bacteria; Bacillati; Bacillota.